Molecule: ribosomal RNA, 465 nt
Filed under: uncultured bacterium
Lineage: Bacteria
Description: partial 16S ribosomal RNA
Rfam family: Bacterial small subunit ribosomal RNA
Source: RNAcentral
CCUACGGGAGGCUGCAGUGGGGAAUAUUGCGCAAUGGGCGAAAGCCUGACGCAGCGACGCCGCGUGAGGGAUGAAGGUCUUCGGAUCGUAAAACUCUGUCAGCAGGGAAGAACGGUCACGGUGGUAAUCAGCCGUGAAUUGACGGUACCUACAAAGGAAGCACCGGCUAACUCCGUGCCAGCAGCCGCGGUAAUACGGAGGGUGCAAGCGUUAAUCGGAAUUAAUGGGCGUAAAGCGCGCGUAGGCGGUAUGUCAAGUCAAGGGUGAAAGCCCCGGGCUCAACGUGGGAAGUGCCUUUGAAACUGGCAAACUGGAGUGUGUAAGAGGAUAGUGGAAUUCCAGGUGUAGGGGUGAAAUGCGUAGAGAUCUGGAGGAACAUCAGUGGCGAAGGCGACUAUCUGGCACAUAACUGACGCUGAGGAGCGAAAGCGUGGGGAGCAAACAGGAUUAGAUACCCGAGUAGUC